UCGAAACACGGAUUCAUUAGACCUGGACACGUUGCACGAAUGAAAUGGACAUGAAAUCCGCGGACAGGGAGUCAUGUCUGGAAGUUUGACACGCAGGCUCUUUCAGCGUCUGGCGCCAGUUUUACGAUCUAUAAACAUGGAACAUGUGUAUUGCAGACUAGAACAUGCUGUCUUGGUAAUCAUGCUGGCAACCGAUCGAUGUGCCCGAGCCAAUGAAGACUUGACGGACUGACGGGCGCCGCAUGGAACAAAUCGUCCACAAUGAGUGACUAGCUGGCACCGUCACCACACCAUACCCGCCAACGCAACGCACCUCCUUGCUCAGUAUAAAUACAGCAAAGUCUCAGAUCAGAUACCAGAUCUUCUCGCAUUCUUUGAGCGUGAAUAAGAAGCAAGCAAAAGAUGGGGAAAAUGCUCCUGUUUCUCAUUGGCAUGUUGCUCGUUGCGGGUGCGUCCGCAUUGACUCCAGAACAAGAGGCGAUGUAUAAGUGCAGCCUCAAGAGGGGAACAUGUCAGGUGACUUGCUUUGCUGGCUUUAAGGAAAGCGGAGCGUGCCUCGGCGAGGAGAAAUGUUGCACCAUUUAAAGCGAAAUGAAUCUUUCACCAAGGAACUACGUUUCGUUUGGGUCUGAUAUCAACUGAUUGUCAAGAAAAACAGUGUGGAAAGCUGAAUUGAUAAACAACAAUUACUCACU
This is a long non-coding RNA of Leucoraja erinaceus (little skate), 695 nucleotides long. RefSeq lists it as uncharacterized. NCBI's taxonomy places the organism in Eukaryota, Metazoa, Chordata, Chondrichthyes, Rajiformes, Rajidae. The record is from RefSeq and is a predicted model, not a curated record. The transcript has 2 exons.